This 603-nucleotide ribosomal RNA is filed under the name Photobacterium iliopiscarium. Its description in RNAcentral is "bacterial SSU rRNA". It matches the Rfam family "Bacterial small subunit ribosomal RNA", at positions 1 to 590 of the family's 1533-position model. The record is from RNAcentral. Lineage: Bacteria; Pseudomonadati; Pseudomonadota; Gammaproteobacteria; Vibrionales; Vibrionaceae. RNAcentral also lists the same sequence under 1 other name.
UUAAUUGAAGAGUUUGAUCAUGGCUCAGAUUGAACGCUGGCGGCAGGCCUAACACAUGCAAGUCGAGCGGUAACAGAUUGAUAGCUUGCUAUCAAUGCUGACGAGCGGCGGACGGGUGAGUAAUGCCUGGGAAUAUACCCUGAUGUGGGGGAUAACUAUUGGAAACGAUAGCUAAUACCGCAUAAUCUCUUCGGAGCAAAGAGGGGGACCUUCGGGCCUCUCGCGUCAGGAUUAGCCCAGGUGGGAUUAGCUAGUUGGUGGGGUAAUGGCUCACCAAGGCGACGAUCCCUAGCUGGUCUGAGAGGAUGAUCAGCCACACUGGAACUGAGACACGGUCCAGACUCCUACGGGAGGCAGCAGUGGGGAAUAUUGCACAAUGGGGGAAACCCUGAUGCAGCCAUGCCGCGUGUAUGAAGAAGGCCUUCGGGUUGUAAAGUACUUUCAGUUGUGAGGAAGGCGUUGGAGUUAAUAGCUUCAGCGUUUGACGUUAGCAACAGAAGAAGCACCGGCUAACUCCGUGCCAGCAGCCGCGGUAAUACGGAGGGUGCGAGCGUUAAUCGGAAUUACUGGGCGUAAAGCGCAUGCAGGCGGUCUGUUAAGCAA